RNAcentral lists this transfer RNA (85 nucleotides) under Felis catus (domestic cat). It matches the Rfam family "tRNA". Rfam says of the family: Transfer RNA (tRNA) molecules are approximately 80 nucleotides in length. Lineage: Eukaryota; Metazoa; Chordata; Mammalia; Carnivora; Felidae. The record is from Rfam by way of RNAcentral.
GCCUGGGUGGCUCGGUUGGUUAAGCAUCUGACUUUGGCUCAGGUCGUGAUCUCACAGCUUGUGGGUUUGAGCCCCACGUCGGGCU